AGAACGAACGCUGGCGGCAUGCCUAAUACAUGCAAGUCGAACGAACUCUUCGGAGUUAGUGGCGCACGGGUGCGUAACGCGUGGGAAUCUGCCCUUGGGUUCGGAAUAACAGUUGGAAACGACUGCUAAUACCGGAUGAUGACGAAAGUCCAAAGAUUUAUCGCCCAGGGAUGAGCCCGCGUAGGAUUAGCUAGUUGGUGAGGUAAAGGCUCACCAAGGCGACGAUCCUUAGCUGGUCUGAGAGGAUGAUCAGCCACACUGGGACUGAGACACGGCCCAGACUCCUACGGGAGGCAGCAGUAGGGAAUAUUGGACAAUGGGCGAAAGCCUGAUCCAGCAAUGCCGCGUGAGUGAUGAAGGCUUAGGGUUGUAAAGCUCUUUACCGAGAUGAUAAUGACAGUAUCGGAAGAAUAAGCCCCGGCUAACUCCGUGCCAGCAGCCGC
RNAcentral lists this ribosomal RNA (443 nucleotides) under uncultured soil bacterium. RNAcentral's name for it is "bacterial SSU rRNA". It matches the Rfam family "Bacterial small subunit ribosomal RNA", at positions 26 to 518 of the family's 1533-position model. The record is from RNAcentral.